GACGAACGCUGGCGGCGCGCCUAACACAUGCAAGUCGAACGGAGCUGAGAGAAGCUUGCUUUUCUUAGCUUAGUGGCGAACGGGUGAGUAACGCGUGAGUAACCUGCCCUGGAGUGGGGGACAACAGUUGGAAACGACUGCUAAUACCGCAUAAGCCCACGAUCCGGCAUCGGAUUGAGGGAAAAGGAUUUAUUCGCUUCAGGAUGGACUCGCGUCCAAUUAGCUAGUUGGUGAGGUAACGGCCCACCAAGGCGACGAUUGGUAGCCGGACUGAGAGGUUGAACGGCCACAUUGGGACUGAGACACGGCCCAGACUCCUACGGGAGGCAGCAGUGGGGGAUAUUGCACAAUGGGGGAGACCCGGAUGCAGCGACGCCGCGUGGAGUAAGAAGGUUUUCGGAUUGUAAACUCCUGUCGUUAGGGACGAUAAUGACGGUACCUAACAAGAAAGCACCGGCUAACUACGUG
RNAcentral lists this ribosomal RNA (468 nucleotides) under uncultured bacterium. Its description in RNAcentral is "partial 16S ribosomal RNA". It matches the Rfam family "Bacterial small subunit ribosomal RNA", at positions 28 to 507 of the family's 1533-position model. The record is from RNAcentral.